UACGUAGGGUGCAAGCGUCGUCCGGAAUUAUUGGGCGUAAAGAGCUCGUAGGCGGUCUGUCGCGUCUGCUGUGAAAACUCAGGGCUUAACCCUGAGCUUGCAGUGGGUACGGGCAGACUAGAGUGCGGUAGGGGAGACUGGAAUUCCUGGUGUAGCGGUGAAAUGCGCAGAUAUCAGGAGGAACACCGGUGGCGAAGGCGGGUCUCUGGGCCGUAACUGACGCUGAGGAGCGAAAGCAUGGGGAGCGAACAGG
This 253-nucleotide ribosomal RNA is filed under the name uncultured bacterium. RNAcentral describes it as "partial 16S ribosomal RNA". It matches the Rfam family "Bacterial small subunit ribosomal RNA", at positions 524 to 776 of the family's 1533-position model. The record is from RNAcentral.